CUUCUCUCAAGUUGAUAAUUUUCCAUAAUUAUGAAACAACAGUCUACAUUCUAGAAUUCUGUCUUGUUCAGUUUCUCUAGAAAAAACAGGCAAUAUCAGCAGUCUUCAGAGGACUUUGAUAUCUACAUUUUCUCAAGCACCCUAAAUGAUCAUUCCUUAAAAUGUAGAACUUAUGUUUGUUUUUCCACUAAGUAUUUUUGAGGGUUGGCAUUAUCUAUACAUUCAGCCAUAGAAUCACCCUUAAAAAUGCAUACAACAGGCUCUUCUGGGGAAUGCAAACAUUCAUUCAGCUGUUCUAGAUUAGCUAGACUUGUUGAUUUGCAAUAGAAGAGGGGUCUGAAAAAAAAAUCCUCUCCACCUCUCCUCCGUUUCUCCUCCUCCCCCCCCCCCCCCCCCCCCCCCCCCAUCAAUACUUGCCUAGGGCAAGAGAAUGUCAACCAGCAGAUCUCAGCUCAGACGUGAAAAUGAAAACCUGGGACUGCUAUGGAUUUUAGUGUUUGUUUGUUUGUUUGUUUUUUCUUUCAGAAGGAUACAGACCAGGAAAUUUCUGAAACACAAACAUAUGUUUGCACACUAACUCUAGUAAUUUUUUUUGAGUAAUUUAUUCACUGAUACAUGCCAGGGCAAGAGUUACAAAUCAGAAGUGUAUCUGCAAGGCAGAUUAUUUAUCUCCAAAGGAAACUCUUGCCAACUGAUCCCAGGCAGAAGAUUGGCUUUGGUUCUGCAAGCAGCUGCUCAUCUUCCCACUUUGCUGGAGAUUGUGUUAUAUAUACUACAUCUUAUUUGCCUAAAAAAAAACAGCAUGACCACAAGUUAACCUUGAAAUAUGUGAACUCUUGGAAAUCUACACAACUCUUACAGCCAACAAAAAAUAAAUCUAGUGAUGAGAUAUUAUUCUAAAGAUAAUGUUUUGUGAUCAGAGUUGACAUACUCGGAGAUCUGAGAUUUGUAGUACUUAGUGCAGAAUUAAUCUUAGCUGAUUCUGUUUUAAAUGUAGUAAGCCUCGUUUGCAAGAGAUAACAGUUACUUACCUCAAUGUUGGUGUAAGUCUUCCUAGGCUCAUGUCAAAGAAAACAAAAGUGAGGAGAAUCAGAAAGAACAUGGAAUCUCAUAAAUGAAGAUUUGAGAAGAAAAAUCCUUAUAUGUAGUUUUACUCCAGAAAGUGGUGGUACUCUGUUUAGACAUGAGAAACUGGCUUCAUAAUUUUAUUUGGGGAAUUAGUUAUGACCUUGACAUGUCAAGGUAAAAUGCCAAUUAUCACAUGCUUCCAAUGUUUUAUUUAGAAGAAUAUUAACCUAUUAAUUUAAUAUAUGUUAGAGCCUGAAUUAUUCUAAAUAAUACAUGAGACAAUCUGCACUUUGUUAAAACAUUCUGAAGUACUCUAAACUACUUGUUGAACAAUUUCAAAAAAUAGAAGCUGAAGAAAACCAAAAGUUGCAUAAUGCCACUUACAGAAGACAUACAGUAUUAGCAAAACUUUAAAAUUGCAAGUUUGACUUAGCCAAAGGGUUUUUAUUUAGUUAGUUCAUUUAUUUACUUAUUACACAGAGGCUGUUCCCUUCCUCUAAUAACAUGAAGCAAAGAUAGAAGACGUUUAGGAAAAUUCACAAACAUUAAAUGUGGACAAUAUUUAGCAGUUGACAAACUAAUAGCUGAUUCACAUGGGCUGGGAUUCGGAUAUUCAAGCAGAAGGGCAAACUACAUUCCUGCUGUGUAAAAAGUCAAUAAUCUACAUAAAGUAAACAUCUCUUUUAGUAUAUAUUAAUAAUAAUACCCUGAUUACCUUCCUAGAUAAUGAAAAACACGUAACUUUUUUUUUGAAACCUCAAGUUCUGUGACUUUUAAGGGACAGCUAGACUCCAUGAGUGACAUUCCUUUCAAUAUGGUCCAUGAAAUAAAUAAAGCAAUAUCUAUGCA
This 1917-nucleotide long non-coding RNA is filed under the name Anas platyrhynchos platyrhynchos (common mallard). Its description in RNAcentral is "lncRNA (ENSAPLG00000029250.1)". The record is from RNAcentral. Lineage: Eukaryota; Metazoa; Chordata; Aves; Anseriformes; Anatidae.